RNAcentral lists this long non-coding RNA (571 nucleotides) under Pogona vitticeps (central bearded dragon). RNAcentral describes it as "lncRNA (ENSPVIG00000020455.1)". The record is from RNAcentral. Lineage: Eukaryota; Metazoa; Chordata; Lepidosauria; Squamata; Agamidae.
UUGAUGAACUCUGGAGCACUUUGUGCUAAUUGAAGUGAACUGCAUAACUCAGCUGUUGAGUGCCUAACUCAGUGCUUUGAACUCACAGAAGGAGAAGGAGUGGUUGAACUGGUGACAUUUUAGAUACAUACUUCGUACCACAGUACAGUACUUGACCAGUUCAGCUACAUUCUUCACAAGGGAGAAUAUAGCAUGCUUUCAAAAAAUCUAUCUUAAAACAUCCUGAGCUUGCAAUGAGAACUACAUGUCUUCAACAAAUAAUAAGUACCAAAGAACUCUACCUCCUUGUGUCAGGGCAGGAGCACUGUCAGGCAUGUCUUUGGCAGACAAGACAACAUAGAUGAGGUUUCAACAAAUAAUCAGAAAUAUGCAGAAUGCCAAGAAAAUCUGCUUUACUGCUGAAGACAACAAACGGGAUAAAUGACAGACAGUUAUGUAACUUUCCUCUUCUGCAAAACAAACAAAAGCUGACCAUUUCCAUUAAGCAAUGCCUGGGUCUCUGGGACUUCCUGCACAAAAUGUGGAUGGAGCAAAUAGUACGUACAAAACAAAGGUUUCUUGUAACUCAUUG